UCCAAGUAACUAUCAAUGCUUUAUCACCCAUUUCCUCAAUGAACCCGUGUGGGACUUUCGGUAACUCGGAAGACCGAACCACCCACAAGAAAUGAAACCCAGUUUGCUUUAAACCCCGUGCGAGUUCCUUCAUUUGGUCGAUGGUUAGGUUAGCCAUGCUUCCAAAUGAGACGUAAAUGACCGAGCAUGGUGGCUUGGUGGUUAGCCAACAUGUACUGGUAGAGUCUAGUUUAAAGAGAUUGAGAUCGUAAUCUUUGUCGUUUUCAAGUCUUUUAUCUAAAUACAUGGAUGGGAUUGUUGGGCCUAUCGUUAACAAUGGUUGAGUCAUCACCUUCGACAUCGAAUCAACAACCUGUUUAUAUCAAAGAGAUCAUUACAAAAUGGUAAAAGUACCUUGCAUGUCCCUAUACCACUUGAUGCAUUUUUGUUUUUAUACUUUUAAAAAUAGUAACAAUAUAAUAGUGAAAUGAUAACAAAACAAUAAAAAUCAGUGAUAAAAUAGUAACAAAAAUAUUUUUUUUACAAAUUCGUGCCGAGCCUAGGCAAAAAAAAGCUUUCCCAUUUUUCGGGAUUAUAUUUUUGCCCAAAUCUUCUCACUUUUCAAGCUGGCCUUCGAGUUGAACUGGGUGACUCGGCUCAUGGAUAAGUCUAGGUUUUAGUUAGGGUUUUGAAACCAAUUCUCUAGCUAUCACUGCCACCGGGGUGAAUAGAAAUAUUUUUUUGUCUCAAUUUGGCACUUAAGUUUAGCUUAAAUAUUCAAUUUGAUACCUAAGUUUUUUUUGUCCCAAUUAGGUAUCUAUGUUUUGCUACAAGAAAACACAUGUCAAACAUUCAUUAGCAAUAUGAUGUCAUUUGGUUUGGAUACCAAAUUGAAAAAUGAAAUUAAACUUAAAUAUCAAAUUGAAAAAAAAACCCUUAAAAUACCAAAUUUAAAACUAAACUCAAUACUAAAUGAUAUAUUAACCGCUUGAAUUUCUCAAAAAAAUAGAUAAAUUUAAUAUAAUAAUAAAAUGAAAUAUUUAAAUACUAUUAGUUUAUAUUGAUACGAUUGACAUCGACAAUUAUUAUUAAUUGAAGUUAUUAUUAACUAAGCCCAAAAAUAUUAGAGCAGAACUCAAUCAAGUCCUAAAAUUGAGAAGAAAAGAGAGAGAGAGAGAGAGAGCCUUAUAUAGUUAAAAGUAAACUAACCUCUUGUUCCAACUUGUAGAAGCUAUUAACUAAAAUGAAAUCAACUUUGUCUAUAUUAGAGAAUUGAUUCAACACCAACUCGAAAUAAGAUGGAUACGAACCCACAACAUAGAUAAAUGACGGCAUGUCUCGAAGAUCAAGCAACGGCAACCCGGGAAUGACAAUUGGCAUCAUUGACGAUGAAAUCGGAAGACUCAAAAGCCCGUUACGAGCAUAAUAAUAUAUGUAAUCCACGGCGCACGCCUGCGUAAAAAAAGCGAUUCCAACAAUACCAAAUUGUUGGCCAACAUCAAGAACCCAUGGAAGGAAAGCAUCAUAGAGUAUGCAAUCAAUAGGAUGGGGUGAGUUCUUAUGCUUUAUGAUAAGUUCGGUCAAGGUUUUUGACCCAACAGUUUGUAAUCGUACAAGGUAAUCAUCAACACUCUCGACUUGUAAGAAUCCGCCUUUAUCACAACCGUCUGAAAUUGUGUCGAAAUCGAUGUCGGAGUUGAGUAAUUCGGGUUUCAUGGUUUCGGAGAUGAAGACAGUGGUGGCAAAGGUUGCUUUGAGUCCUUUGGAGGAUAAGCGUUUGGAGAAUUGAAGCAUUGGGUUAAUAUGGCCUUGGCUUGGAUAAGGAAUGACCAAUACAUGAACCCUUUUGUUAGCUUUUUUCUCCAUUGGUUUUUGUUCUCCAAUAUAAUUUAUGAUCUUCAAGAAUAUUGGAGUAUGCUAUUUAUAUUGGUAGAGUGUGUAAGACCACGACUAAUCUUAAAAGGAGUGGAUGGGAAAAGGAUUAUGUCAUAUCAAUGGAUAGAGCUCUAUCGUCCCAAUUAUAGGGAAACAAUAAAGUAACGAGCUUUUCUUUGAGUUGUUUAUCUUCAUAACCGAUCGAGUAUAUUUUUUGAUACAAUGUAUAGAAUUAUUAAUAACUCCUAACCCUUAAAUAAGUGAAUAAACGCGUUUCAACACACUCGAACUCACGUCGUCCUACAUUGCCAAUAAUAUUCACACCAAUCGAACCAAUACUGAAUUGACACAUAUUAAAUAUAUUUUGAAAUAUCAAUCAAUAUCAAAAUAUGAGUAAAAAAUAAAACGAUAUAUAGGUUUACAAGUGUGGAAGGAUUUUGAUCAUAGGAUCUCAGAAAAAUAUAGAUAAGAUGAUUUCAUCCACACAAAAUAUAGGCAAUAUUUUCAACUUUACACCGAAUACAAACAAUGUUCCUUGAUUGAAUCUAAAAUUAUUGAACCAUCCAUCCCUUUCAUGAUAAUGAUACCUUUUGGGUUAAAACGUUAAAUAAUUCAACAAAUAUUCUUCUACCACAUACUAUACGUAGACUUGUACAGCCCGACCCGAAGGUCUGUCCGAAAAAUAAAAAUAUUUGGAUAAAAAUAUAAGCUUAAUUGCUUAUAAGAUGAGUUUCGGUAAAAAAAUAAGGCUCGUUUAGAAAACGGGUUGAGUCCUAGGUAAAGUUUUUUGGCCCCGAGCCUGGCCCAGAUACAUGUCUAAAAGCAUCGAUACCCUUAACAAAGUAUUUGUACUUUCACAAAAGUAUUGAUACCCUGCUUAAGGUUAGAUGUUUUGAAAAUUAAAGAAAAAUUGCUUGAGUGUCGAUACCCUCUCUAAGGUGUUGAUACCACAUAAUGUAUCGAGAUUAUAGGUUUUAAUACAGGUCAGGUCAGUCCGGGCCCGAGGUUAGCAUAUAUAAUCUAGGCCGGGUUUGGGUAAAAAUUUACACCCAAUUUGGGCUGAACUUAAAAUUUUGUUGAAACUCGGCCUGACACAUGGAUAACUCUAAUCACAUAUAUUUCUUUUUACCUCGUUCCGUAUUAAAUUUUGAUUAAUUUAGAGUUAAAUUUUUAAAUAAGAAGCAAAACUCUUUUAACAUCGUUGUCUCCGUUUAUAAAAUUUGAAUUUUAAAACAAAGAUAUAAGUUUCUUAUCUCUCGACAUAAUAAGCAUUGAUAGAGACAAUGAUGAAUCCAGUACAUAUUAUAAAAGAAGUCAAAAAUAUUACUAAUGGCAGCAAUAGAACCACUUGUUCCCUUUGUAUCAAAUUUUCAAUUUUAUAACAUUUUAUUUUUUAUUUUUUAUAUGUCAUAUGAAUAUUAAAAAUAUAACAUUAUAAUAUAAAUAUUAAAUAAUAUUUACGCUUAAAUAUUAUAAAAUUCAGUCCAUGCAAAAAAUGUUUAUCAGGAAUUUUGAGAACUCUUUACAUCCAUUGUACCAGAGCCGAAUAAUCAUAUCGAUUUAAGAAAUUUUGAGUGAAAUUUGUGUUCAAUUUGAUCAUAAUUGAGUCACUCUAGUUUUUACCUAUUUUCUAAUAACAUAUAAUAUGUGUUAUUGCAUAAAUCAAUUGAACUAAGUCUCGGAUUUGUGAUUUUAAGUAUUUUGUUUACUAAGAACACUAACCCUAUUUACAUCGUGCCAAUAUUUUAGAGACCAAUUCAUCAAUAUUCUUGUCCGAACUUCCACCUUCGCACACUGCUUCCACAGCCAAUUCCUUCCAUUUCAUAGCAUUUCUUUUCAUUUCAAUCCCUUGUUCCCCUUCCAUCACUUGUCUAAUACACCUCUCUAUUUCAUCUCCACUCACAAUCCCAUCCUCCCUCACAUUAACUCGAACCCCAACUUUCCAAACAUCCUCAACUAGCUUAGCAUCCGUGGUUUGGUCGGCCCACUGUGGCAUCGCCACCAUCGGUACCCCCAAACACAAGGCCUCAAUCGUCGAGUUCCACCCACAAUGCGUGAAAAAACACCCUAUGGCCUCAUUCGCAAGUACCUCGGUUUGUGGUAUCCAAGUAACUAUCAAUGCUUUAUCACCCAUUUCCUCAAUGAACCCGUGUGGGACUUUCGGUAACUCGGAAGACCGAACCACCCACAAGAGAUGAAACCCAGUUUGCUUUAAACCCCAUGCGAGUUCCUUCAUUUGGUUGCUGGUUAGGUUAGCCAAGCUUCCAAAUGAGACGUAAACGACCGAGCAUGGUGGCUUGGUGGUUAGCCAACAUGUACUGGUAGAGUCUAGUUUAAAGAGAUUGAGAUCGUAAUCUUUGUCGUUUUCAAGUCUUU
Molecule: long non-coding RNA, 4230 nt
Filed under: Gossypium raimondii (Peruvian cotton)
Lineage: Eukaryota; Viridiplantae; Streptophyta; Magnoliopsida; Malvales; Malvaceae
Description: long non-coding RNA (GRAI_LNC003346)
Source: RNAcentral